RNAcentral lists this ribosomal RNA (468 nucleotides) under uncultured bacterium. Its description in RNAcentral is "partial 16S ribosomal RNA". It matches the Rfam family "Bacterial small subunit ribosomal RNA", at positions 28 to 507 of the family's 1533-position model. The record is from RNAcentral.
GACGAACGCUGGCGGCGUGCUUAACACAUGCAAGUCGAACGGAAAGGCCCUGCUUUUGUGGGGUGCUCGAGUGGCGAACGGGUGAGUAACACGUGAGUAACCUGCCCUUGGCUUUGGGAUAACUUCAGGAAACUGGGGCUAAUACCGGAUAGGAGCUCCUGCUGCACGGUGGGGGUUGGAAAGUUUCGGCGGUUGGGGAUGGACUCGCGGCUUAUCAGCUUGUUGGUGGGGUAGUGGCUUACCAAGGCUUUGACGGGUAGCCGGCCUGAGAGGGUGACCGGCCACAUUGGGACUGAGAUACGGCCCAGACUCCUACGGGAGGCAGCAGUGGGGAAUAUUGCACAAUGGGCGGAAGCCUGAUGCAGCAACGCCGCGUGCGGGAUGACGGCCUUCGGGUUGUAAACCGCUUUCGCCUGUGACGAAGCGUGAGUGACGGUAAUGGGUAAAGAAGCACCGGCUAACUACGUG